CCACAUAACCACAUCUGCGAACCCUAGGUGUCGUACGUCUCCCGUUUAGCCCGCCUGAUCUUGAUGGCGCAUGUCGUCGAUGCUGCCUCAUGAUCCACCGAUCCCAGAACACUUUCACCGUCGAUUAAAGUCCUUCAGUGCCGCCUCUAGGUCACCAUCGUUGUCGCCACUACGAACUCCAAGCACUCAUGUGUGAGACCUCGACCACCACCUGCCACAAUCCCACAGUCCCUCCUUCCCUCCUUGUCCGUCGAUGCAGAUGAAGGUGCGGGUGGGUAUCUUGGCCUCGUCGUCUAUGAUGUCAUAUCGGCGUCCCGUCGCGAGGAGCAGCAGCAUCGGCACCAUCGGGCACAUCAUCGACGGCGGCUUUGUUGGCACCAAGGCGUGUAUCUCAAUCCUCACCUACUCACCAUCCUGUUCCAGGUAAUAGGCUUUCCACCCCCUCUUUUGUAUCAUGUGUUCUCGCGUGCACAGAUUUGGCAGUUGGGAAGGAAGUUCAUAGGAAGGGAGGUGACAACAAGGAUUAAUUAAGGGUCGAUUUGAUUUCCGAGAUUCUAUGUCUAGGACAUGAUUUGGUAACAAGGAAAUCCCCUUUAAAUGUGUCAUAAUCUGUGAUAAGGACCGCAAGCUAAAAAAGCAUGGGGCAAACCUCGGGCUAUAACAAUUAAUGUGCUUAUGUGAGCGUGAAGGAAUACUUUUCUUUUAUUUUGUGGUGGUGAUGUGCUCCUUCUGGCUUCAGUAUAUAGAUUCUUCAAAAAAAUUGCAUGUUAUACUAUCAACUUAGUUUAUAUAUAUAUUCUCCUAAUAUUAGCAGAAUAAUUAUUCUGCACACACUUUCCAGUUGCACGCGCAACAUUACUGCACUGCACCCUUUUCAAAACAAGCACUCCAAUGUCACAAAAAAAACUGCUCGUGCUUUUUCGAUAUCGUUUUGGCUCCAGUUUUUAAACCAUUUGUCGUAAUGAGGCAUAUAAUAUGUCAUCGGAUUGCUACAGAAAAUUCCCAACUCUAUUAUGUUGAACAUUUUUCGUGAUUCCUCGCGGUUUAAGAGCAGUUUCGAAAAUGGUGAGCGCAUGACGGGGUAUAGCGAGUGUAUUUUCACGAUUUUUUUAACCGCUCGUCGGAGUGAAGCAAAUGAUACGAUGUUGGAAAUAUAUCGUCCAGCCGCAUCUUUUUCAUGCAUAUUACUCUCUCUAAUUUCUUACGGUUUGCGAGUAAUUCCAAGUUUACUAAAAAAUUGAAUUCUGUUUUUUGAAUUUUUCGUUUUUUGGGAUUGUUUUGGCUGCAGGUUUUAAACCGUUCCUCGGAUCGAGGCGUAUGAUACGGCGUUGAAAAGCUGUCUAAUAUGCGUAACUUUCAUAUGUUGGCCAUUUAUUAAGAUUCCUCGAGGUUUUAAAUGAAUUUUAGAAACGGCGGGACUGCGUGCGAGUUGCAGCGAAC
This 1440-nucleotide long non-coding RNA is filed under the name Hordeum vulgare. RNAcentral's name for it is "long non-coding RNA (HVUL_LNC011902)". The record is from RNAcentral. Lineage: Eukaryota; Viridiplantae; Streptophyta; Magnoliopsida; Poales; Poaceae.